This is a non-coding RNA of Peromyscus maniculatus bairdii (prairie deer mouse), 102 nucleotides long. The record is from RefSeq and is a predicted model, not a curated record. Lineage: Eukaryota; Metazoa; Chordata; Mammalia; Rodentia; Cricetidae.
AGAACCUUUUAAUACAGUUUAUAUAGCACGAGUCCACAAGUCACUUUAGAAACAGACAAACAAAAUAAAGCAUCAUUAUCCUAAGUUAGAAAAAGGGAGGGG